This 253-nucleotide ribosomal RNA is filed under the name uncultured bacterium. RNAcentral describes it as "partial 16S ribosomal RNA". It matches the Rfam family "Bacterial small subunit ribosomal RNA", at positions 524 to 776 of the family's 1533-position model. The record is from RNAcentral.
CACGUAGGGCGCGAGCGUUGUCCGGAAUUAUUGGGCGUAAAGAGCUCGUAGGCGGCCUGUUGCGUCCGCUGUGAAAGCCCGGGGCUUAACCCCGGGUCGGCAGUGGAUACGGGCAGGCUAGAGGUAGGCAGGGGAGAAUGGAAUUCCCGGUGUAGCGGUGAAAUGCGUAGAUAUCUGGAGGAACACCGGUGGCGAAGGCGGCAUCCUGGACCAUUACUGACACUGAAAAGCGAAAGCCAGGGGAGCAAACGGG